Molecule: ribosomal RNA, 468 nt
Filed under: uncultured bacterium
Lineage: Bacteria
Description: partial 16S ribosomal RNA
Rfam family: Bacterial small subunit ribosomal RNA
Source: RNAcentral
GACGAACGCUGGCGGCGUGCUUAACACAUGCAAGUCGAACGGAAAGGCCCUGCUUUUGUGGGGUGCUCGAGUGGCGAACGGGUGAGUAACACGUGAGUAACCUGCCCUUGACUUUGGGAUAACUUCAGGAAACUGGGGCUAAUACCGGAUAGGAGCUCCUGCUGCAUGGUGGGGGUUGGAAAGUUUCGGCGGUUGGGGAUGGACUCGCGGCUUAUCAGCUUGUUGGUGGGGUAGUGGCUUACCAAGGCUUUGACGGGUAGCCGGCCUGAGAGGGUGACCGGCUACAUUGGGACUGAGAUGCGGCCCAGACUCCUACGGGGGGAAGCAGUGGGGAAUAUUGCACAAUGGGCGGAAGCCUGAUGCAGCAGCGCCGCGUGCGGGAUGACGGCCUUCGGGUUGUAAACCGCUUUCGCCUGUGACGAAGCGUGAGUGACGGUAAUGGGUAAAGAAGCACCGGCUAACUACGUG